This 761-nucleotide long non-coding RNA is filed under the name Homo sapiens (human). RNAcentral's name for it is "HSALNT0233477". Lineage: Eukaryota; Metazoa; Chordata; Mammalia; Primates; Hominidae. The record is from RNAcentral.
ACGAAAGUGGGAGCACCUCUUGUCUGAAAGAGUCGUUCUCUGAUUGCACAUAGGUGUCAGAAAAGCUGCCGUUCACAGUAUUUUCCCUGGUGUUCACUUGCACCUCUGAAACUCCUGUCGUGGAUCUGGUUUUCAACUGUUAUUUAAUAGUUGAAGAAUUAGGAUUUGCACCUAUUUAGAGGGAAUGGAUACAGUACACCCUUCUCAAACCAUUUUUUUUUCCAAUUUAAUGCUUAAGUGGUCAUUGAUGGCUUUCGAUGAGAGUAAUAUGUCUUAUGAUUUCCAAACUGUAACUAACUCAAGUUAACGAGGAGAAUUUCACUUAAUGGCACCAAUUCUUGAUGGCUAAACUCGCUGGAGGUAAUCUGAAUGAAAAGACUGACUUUGUCGUUUCUCUUUCUGCACCCACAAAAGGGGGAAAAGAACUAACUGCUGAUAGUUAUUGCUUUCAUCUGUACCAUUUCCAGCUUGCAUUUACUGUCACGAAACACACUUGUGUUUAAUUCCACAUAUUUUAGUAAUUGUUGCAAACUGGAGAAGAGGUAUCAAGCACUUAUCUCUAGGAGAACUUAAGUAUGGUAUUUCAAAGCCAGGAAGAGGAAGAAGAGCGUUACCUCCUUGUCUUCCAGGGGAAAAGAAAGACCUUUGAAGGAUCCAUGGGUGAGCAGCAGUGGAUGUGCAGUGAAAUUCACAGCAGGCAGAUGGGAACGUGGAGAAAUUCUACAAACCUUUGGGAGCCAGACAGCUCCAACCUCAAGAAG